RNAcentral lists this ribosomal RNA (500 nucleotides) under uncultured bacterium. RNAcentral's name for it is "partial 16S ribosomal RNA". It matches the Rfam family "Bacterial small subunit ribosomal RNA", at positions 30 to 523 of the family's 1533-position model. The record is from RNAcentral.
AUUGAACGCUGGCGGCAUGCCUUACACAUACAAGUCGAACGGCAGCACGGGAGCAAUCCUGGUGGCGAGUGGCGAACGGGUGAGUAAAGUAUCGGAACGUGCCCAGUCGUGGGGGAUAACGUAGCGAAAGUUACGCUAAUACCGCAUACGAUCUAUGGAUGAAAGCGGGGGAUCGCAAGACCUCGCGCGAUUGGAGCGGCCGAUAUCAGAUUAAGUAGUUGGUGGGGUAAAGGCCCACCAAGCCGACGAUCUGUAGCUGGUCUGAGAGGACGACCAGCCACACUGGGACUGAGACACGGCCCAGACUCCUACGGGAGGCAGCAGUGGGGAAUUUUGGACAAUGGGCGAAAGCCUGAUCCAGCCAUGCCGCGUGCAGGAUGAAGGCCUUCGGGUUGUAAACUGCUUUUGUACGGAACGAAAAGGACUGCCCUAAUACGGUGGUCCCAUGACGGUACCGUAAGAAUAAGCACCGGCUAACUACGUGCCAGCCGCCGCGGUAA